This 703-nucleotide small RNA is filed under the name Pan troglodytes (chimpanzee). RNAcentral's name for it is "processed transcript". The record is from RNAcentral. Lineage: Eukaryota; Metazoa; Chordata; Mammalia; Primates; Hominidae.
GUAGGCUCCUGCGCCUUCCCAGUGGUGUGCUCCACUGGCUGCCUGCAUCCUGGGGCUCAAGUGCUGUCAGGACUGCAAGGGAAAUGCUGGGUGGGGCACUGGGCUCCGAGCAGCCCCCGAUGGGUGACAGGUCUCUCUGCUAGAUACCACGAGGAACCCGAGGCCCGGCGAGGAGAACGGCAAAGGGAGGUGAUGCAGCGUGACAUAGCAGCCGGCGACUUCAUCGAGCAUGCCGAGUUCUCGGGGAACCUGUAUGGCACGAGCAAGGUGGCGGUGCAGGCUGUGCAGGCCAUGAACCGCAUCUGUGUGCUGGACGUGGACCUGCAGGGUGUGCGGAACAUCAAGGCCACCGAUCUGCAGCCCAUCUACAUCUCUGUGCAGCCACCUUCACUGCAUGUGCUGGUGUGUGCUGGGCAGGGUUGGGGGCUGGGGGCCAGGGCAUGCCAGGCUCUGAUUGCCACCCCCUUUUUAGGAGCAGCGGCUGCGGCAGCGCAACACUGAAACGGAGGAGAGCCUGGUGAAGCGGCUGGCUGCUGCCCAGGCCGACAUGGAGAGCAGCAAGGAGCCCGGCCUGUUUGAUGUGGUCAUCAUUAACGACAGCCUGGACCAGGCCUACGCAGAGCUGAAGGAGGCGCUCUCUGAGGAAAUCAAGAAAGCUCAAAGGACCGGCGCCUGAGGCUUGCUGUCUGUUCUUGGCACCCCG